UCCCUUCAAUCCUUCUUCACGGUGAUCGCCACCACCAAGCGCAACUCCCCGUUUCCCAAGCCCUCCCAGCUCGCCAGUAGCAGCACAAAGCGCUUUGAGGUGUGGUGCAGCAGUGGCGGCCGCAGAAACAUGCUGCUUGGACUGGGUGGUCUAUACGGCGCAAGCGGCCUGAUUCGCGAAGCUGAGGCGUUGCCGAUUGAAGCUCCUGACCUAAGCAAGUGCGACCCUGCAAGUGCCUAUACUACUCAGGCCGAGCAGACAAUAAGUCUGGACGUGAACUGCUGCCCACCCUUCACCGACGUUCAGACCGACUACACCCUUCCGGUGUUCACUAAGCCUCGCAUUAGGCCGGCGGCGCACAGGAUGACACCAGAGUACAUAGCCAAGUACGAGUUAGCCAUCCAGAAGAUGAAGGAACUGGACAAGACGGACCCCAGCGAUCCCUGCGGCUUCGCUCAGCAAGCCAACAUCCAUUGCGCUUACUGCAACGGCCCCUACGACCAGGUCGGCCACCCCGGCAUCGAUAUCCAGGUUCACAACUCAUGGAUCUUCUUCCCCUUCCACAGGUGGUACAUCUAUUUCUUCGAGAGGAUCAUGGGGGAACUCAUCGGAGAUCCCGAUUUUGCCCUGCCCUACUGGAACUGGGACAACCCUAGGGGCAUGCAGAUUCCCACAUGUUUGACAGGGUUCCAUCACCGCUCUACGACUGUAACUGCAACCCACUCAAUCGCUUCCCUGCCCUCGUUGCUCGUAACAUAACCACCCCCCAAUCACCGAUCAUGUACAGAUCAUCAACAAUAAUCUCACUCAGAUGUACAAGGAAAUGAUUGGCGAUGUCGAAUCCGUCCUCGACUUCAUGGGCACUCCUUACGUUGAUGGAGACCCGCCCCCACCGCGCGGCAAUGGAGGAUCAUCCGAGGGCGGCUCACACGCCGGCGCCCACGUCUGGACUGGACACCCCGAGAACACUUUCUGCGAAGACAUGGGAAACUUCUACUCCGCCGGAAGAGACCCAGCCUUCUACGCCCAUCACGCUAAUGUCGAUAGAAUGUGGACCAUAUGGAAAACUAUCCCAUCUGAUUUUCCAAAGGAUAUCACCGACCAGGUCGUCCCCAACCCCGACAAUUUCAGCAACACUGCCUUCAUGUUCUACGACGAGAAGAAAAACCUAGUGCGCGUCAAGGUCGCCGACUGCUUGGACCACACCAAAAUGGGGUACGAGUAUGAAUAUACUGAAACUCCAUGGAUGGCUUACAGGCCACGUCAGAGGGCAGUCCCGGUCAAUAUCCAAGAUCUCUCCAAGAGGGCAGAGACUGGAGACCAACUCUUCCCCAUCACUCUCACCAACACUGUGAAUUGGUGCCCAAACCAACCAAAGGAAAAGCCGACGAAGUGCUGGUGCUGGAGAACAUUGUCAGCGAUAGCACCCUGCUCGUGAGGUUUGAUGUGUUCGUGAACGAUGAAGACGACAAGCCAGAGGAGCUCGACAGGGCCGAGUACGCUGGGGGGUACACGCAGGUUCCGCAUGGGGUGAGGGCCAGGGAAAGCGUCAAUGAUCUUCGCCUCAACUUGAGGGAACUCUAUGAGAACAUUAAUAUUGCUGAUGAUGAUUUUAUUGUGGUCACCAUCGUUCCCCACAUUAACGGUGACGCUGUUACCAUUGGUGGUAUUAAGAUCAUCCCGCAUGUUGCCGCUUGAUCUGCAUCGAUCACCAUGUUUGGGAUUUCUCGACUUAUAAUUUCUCCAUGUUUUUGUGUGGCGCUGAAUAAGCCUUUUCUUUCUUUCGAAUAACCGCGCGUUUUCAUGCUCCUUCUGUAUCUUCCCACUACUGGAAGAAUGUAAUAGUAUUUGUUUUAGUGAAAGUCUUUCUAUAUGUGUUAUGUGCCAUUU
This is an RNA transcript of Salvia miltiorrhiza (redroot sage), 1890 nucleotides long. It is a transcript of the gene named polyphenol oxidase, chloroplastic-like, with no coding region annotated. Lineage: Eukaryota; Viridiplantae; Streptophyta; Magnoliopsida; Lamiales; Lamiaceae. The transcript is spliced from 2 exons. The record is from RefSeq and is a predicted model, not a curated record.